UACGUAGGGUGCAAGCGUUAUCCGGAUUUACUGGGUUUAAAGGGUGCGUAGGUGGGUCUGUAAGUCAGUGGUGAAAUCUCCGAGCUUAACUCGGAAACUGCCAUUGAUACUAUAGGUCUUGAAUUAUCUGGAGGUAAGCGGAAUAUGUCAUGUAGCGGUGAAAUGCUUAGAUAUGACAUAGAACACCAAUUGCGUAGGCAGCUCGCUACACAUAUAUUGACGCUGAGGCACGAAAGCGUGGGGAUCAAACAGG
Molecule: ribosomal RNA, 253 nt
Filed under: uncultured bacterium
Lineage: Bacteria
Description: partial 16S ribosomal RNA
Rfam family: Bacterial small subunit ribosomal RNA
Source: RNAcentral